This 87-nucleotide transfer RNA is filed under the name Halobacteriovorax sp. Its description in RNAcentral is "tRNA-Leu". It matches the Rfam family "tRNA". Rfam says of the family: Transfer RNA (tRNA) molecules are approximately 80 nucleotides in length. Their secondary structure includes four short double-helical elements and three loops (D, anti-codon, and T loops). Lineage: Bacteria; Pseudomonadati; Bdellovibrionota; Bacteriovoracia; Bacteriovoracales; Halobacteriovoraceae. The record is from RNAcentral.
GGUCCGGUGUUGGAAUUGGUAGACAAGACGGAUUUAAAAUCCGUUGCCCAUUAGGGCGUGCGAGUUCAAGUCUCGCCCGGACCACCA